AUGGCGCAAGAUAAUACCAAAUUGUGUGAUUUCUCGAAUACCAAUAAUAAUGAUUUCCUUAGUAUUCCGGUUGCUCCUCUUAAUGAUGUUGAGUCUUGUGAAAUCAAUACUGCUUUGCUGAAUCUUGUUAUGAAAGAUCAAUUCGCUGGCCUUCCUAGUGAAGAUGCCACUACUCAUCUAAACAACUUUGUUGAUUUGUGUGAUAUGCAAAAGAAGAAAGAUACGGAUAACGAUAUUGUUAAAUUGAAGUUAUUUCCGUUUUCACUUAGAGAUCAUGCUAAAGUUUGGUUUUCGUCUUUGCCUAAAAAUAGUAUUGAUUCUUGGAACAAGUGCAAAGAUGCUUUUAUCUCUAAGUAUUUUCCUCCCACUAAGAUUAUCACUCUUAGGAACGAUAUUAUGAAUUUUAAACAACUUGAUCAUGAGCAUGUUGCCCAAUCUUGCGAAAGAAUGAAAUUGAUGAUUCGCAUUUGCCCUACUCAUGGUUUGAAUUUAUGGAUGAUCAUACAAAUAUUUUAUGCCGGUUUGAACUUUGCUUCUAGAAAUCUCUUAGAUUCGGCCGUGGGAGGCACGUUUAUGGAAAUCACGUUAGGAGAUGCUACAAAACUUCUUGAUAAUAUUAUGGUUAAUUAUUCUCAAUGGCACACCGAAAGAUCUUCUAGUAAAAAAGUGCAUGCUAUAGAAGAAAUCAAUGUUUUGAGUGGAAAGAUGGAUGAACUUAUGAAGUUGUUUGCUACUAAAAAUACACCUCUUGAUCCCAAUGAUAUGCCUUUUUCUACUUUGAUUGAGAAUAAUAAUGAAUCUAUGGAUGUGAAUUUUGUUGGUAGGAAUAGUUUCGGUAACAAUGCUUAUAGAGGAAACUUUAAUUCUAGACCGUUCCCUUGA
This 882-nucleotide ribosomal RNA is filed under the name Triticum aestivum (bread wheat). RNAcentral describes it as "partial small subunit ribosomal RNA". Lineage: Eukaryota; Viridiplantae; Streptophyta; Magnoliopsida; Poales; Poaceae. The record is from RNAcentral.